Molecule: ribosomal RNA, 253 nt
Filed under: uncultured bacterium
Lineage: Bacteria
Description: partial 16S ribosomal RNA
Rfam family: Bacterial small subunit ribosomal RNA
Source: RNAcentral
UACGUAGGGUGCAAGCGUUGUCCGGAAUUAUUGGGCGUAAAGAGCUCGUAGGCGGUUCGUCGCGUCGGCUGUGAAAUCCCGAGGCUCAACCUCGGGUCUGCAGUCGAUACGGGCGGACUGGAGUUCGGCAGGGGAGACUGGAAUUCCUGGUGUAGCGGUGAAAUGCGCAGAUAUCAGGAGGAACACCGGUGGCGAAGGCGGCAUCCUGGACCAACACUGACACUGAGGAGCGAAAGCCAGGGGAGCAAACGGG